UAAAUGAGACGCCAAGGAUGCGUAUAUGAAAGCUGUAUCAAUAGGCUUUAGCAUUUCUACUAUACAGAAUUAGACCUUAACCCUGUGGUUUGUAUUUAGAAAUGUUCAUUCCACAUAAGGGGAAUAGCAUUACAUGUCUGUAUUUUGAUAUAUCCUUUUUUAUGGGAUUUUUUUUCCAUGUGAGGUAACUAAGGCAACUUUAUUUUGGUUUUCUCCCUGUUUAAAUGUGCAUUAUAGACGAGUGGGGGAGGAGGACUAAGGAAAAAGGAGCGACAGUUAAGGCUCUGAUUUAUAUCACUUAUUACGCUCCCUGUAGCGCUGUUGCUCCAUGGCCCAGUUGCAAGUGAGAUCACCAACACUAUGGAGAACAAAACCUAGUCAGCACAGCCUCUAUAGCUUAAUUUUGCCAAGCGCCACGUGUCGGGGAUGACAUUUCCUGGCCCUCAGCAUUAAUGACUGUAGCACAAAGUAUGUCAAAGUAUAGCACUGCCUGAUUCAGCCCCAAAUCACCAUUUCGAUCCAGUGACAAAAUGUCAUGAUGUCACUGAAAUUCUUGGAAUAGGUAUAUAAUAAGCUUAAUCACAUAUACAAUGUGCACAGAUGUAAAACGUAUGCUAUGUUUGCACAAACAUAUUUGCACAAGGUCAUUAAAGAAACCAUAAUUACAUGUGUAGUAUUCGUAAUAGGUACCAUCAACUUCUUUUUAUUCUUGUGUAUGAACAAUUAUACAGUUAUGUUUAUUAAGGUCGGGACUGGUGAACUGAGCCUUUUGGCUUCUAAUGCUGUAUUGGGAAUAUACCGAAGAGUACAAACGUAAGAGAUAUGAAAAAAUGUCUGUGCCAAUAGAAAAGGCAGAUACGAUUAAAUAUUGUGUAACUUUUCAUUUACUUGUGGGAUCUACAGAGAGGUGCACACGACGCCUCCGGCAGAUUCAUUUUUGUAAAAAAGACGGAACUGAUGUAAUUAAACUGUACAUGAAAUGACUUUGUACUUUGCACAAAAUUCAACAAUGUUUCUACAAAGUAUGAAUGUCAACAUCUAAUUUAAGAUCUACCGGCAUUGUCUGGUUGGAACUAAAUAAUGAGUGUGUUUCCUGUUGUCCAAAUAAAGAAAGAAUUCUAAAGCA
Spea bombifrons (plains spadefoot toad) is the source of this 1126-nucleotide long non-coding RNA. RefSeq lists it as uncharacterized. The record is from RefSeq and is a predicted model, not a curated record. NCBI's taxonomy places the organism in Eukaryota, Metazoa, Chordata, Amphibia, Anura, Pelobatidae. The transcript is spliced from 2 exons.